Long non-coding RNA from Mastomys coucha (southern multimammate mouse), 797 nucleotides. RefSeq lists it as uncharacterized. The transcript is spliced from 6 exons. The record is from RefSeq and is a predicted model, not a curated record. NCBI's taxonomy places the organism in Eukaryota, Metazoa, Chordata, Mammalia, Rodentia, Muridae.
CACUGAGCAGAGUCAAAGACUAUCUGAUCAAGCCAGCAGUCACAAUGGAGGAUACAUCUUAAUUUUCUACAGUCUUUACAGUAAAUGCUCUAAGCCAUACUGAAUGGAGCAGGGACAGGUGUCAAUAGGAAAGAAAAACAAGUCACACAUGUCCAGGCAAUGAAAUGAGAAUUUGAAGGGUCAUCCAGAAGAGCUACCAAAAACUGCCAGAGCUGAAGGGAUCCUCGCCUCUGCUUCCUUGUAAAUGUCAGCUUUUGCCACAACGCUUGUCAAGAAAAGAAGAUUCUAUCUAGUUUGACGCUCUUUUCUAAUAUCGGGGACCUAUUCAUGGCACUAGAGAGAGAUAUUUGAAAGAUGUCAAAGUCUAUUAGAGAAGAGUAUUCUAUUGUGGUUACCUGAAAUAAAAAUUCUGUCUCUACACAGCUUAUGUGAAUCCAUCCAUCCUUAAUAAUUACUUUUCCAAAAGGUACAAAAUUCAGGACAGUGAAAGACACAGUCUCACUCUGUAACCCUGGUGGCCCGAGGCUCUCUUUAUAGACCCAACUGGCCUCCAAGUCUGUGCUGCUUGUCUUUGCCUCCAGGUGUUCCAUUCUACCAACGGAGAAAUGAACGGAGAUAAUUGUGUAGCUGAUCAGAGAAGCUGUACAAUUGGAAGGAUGCACUGACUCUCAUGGCAUAAAAACACAUCCCAUCUCUUUGCUCACUGAAUUCUCUCAAUAGAAUCUCAAUUCUGAUUUGAUUUUUAAAAUGACUAAAAAUGUUUUCUUCAGUAAGAAAUCACUGAAUUGCCAAUGGUA